Molecule: ribosomal RNA, 376 nt
Filed under: uncultured delta proteobacterium
Lineage: Bacteria; Deltaproteobacteria
Description: bacterial SSU rRNA
Rfam family: Bacterial small subunit ribosomal RNA
Source: RNAcentral
AGGAAGCACCGGCUAACUCCGUGCCAGCAGCCGCGGUAAUACGGAGGGUGCAAGCGUUGUUCGGAAUUAUUGGGCGUAAAGCGCGUGUAGGCGGAUGAAUAAGUCAGGUGUGAAAUCCCUUGACUCAAUCAAGGAACUGCACUUGAAACUAUUUGUCUCGAGUACGAUAGGGGAGGGCGGAAUUCCCAGUGUAGAGGUGAAAUUCAUAGAUAUUGGGAGGAACACCAGUGGCGAAGGCGACCCUCUGGAUCGAUACUGACGCUGAGACGCGAGAGCGUGGGUAGCAAACAGGAUUAGAUACCCUGGUAGUCCACGCUGUAAACGAUGUGCACUAGGUGUUGGAGGUGCUUAAUCCUUCAGUGCCGCAGCUAACGCA